AUGCCCAAGUGUACAAGCUGACCUUAGCCAUGAACAGAGGCAGUUCUUCUACAGUAUAGAAGAAAAGCCCAUAUAUAAUAAAUAUGGCACAGAUGCAGACAGGAAGUUUAUCCCAUCUGGAGUCCACUCUGUACAUGACGGUCUGUUUCCUUUGCUUUGAGGUUCCAUUCUGUGUCAUUGGCCAUGCCAAGAUAGAGGCACCCUAAAGAUCACGUGUCCACAUGGACCCUUCUCCCCAGGCUUCAACAGUGGAAUCACGCAGCUCAAAGAGAGCUGUCCCUGUGUACAUAUCAGUAAGUGGUAUUUUUUUGUUGCCAUUAAUAUGUUCAGUUUCCGGUUUCUGAAAUUAGAAAACUGUGAAGCUAGGUUGCAGAGAUGUGCUCCAAGUGCCUUGCUGUUUGUUCAGUUUUUUAAGGACAACUCUGGUUCUGACUUUCUACUUGGAAAGGAACACCUAUUUCCAGCCAACUUCUCAAAAAUAAGCCACAAGGAGUCUAAGUAGUUUAACUUUAGAUGUGGAAGGUGCCGUAGACAGCAUCUAGUAUUACUUUAAUUAUCUUACUUAACAAACAGGCGUGCUGAGCGCUAAGGUUACAUGAGUGGCCCAAGACACAAAGGAACUUGGUCCUGACUUUUGGUCCGGUGCACUCUUUACUGUAGCAGAAUGGAAAACCAGUUCAAGUCAGCAAAAUCAUCUUCACAGCCAAAAGACAUACUUAAAAAUUUCAUCUUCCCAUAUUUCAUUGUCUCUUCAAAUUUAUACCUGUUGUUUCAAGACUGUAGUAUAGAAGAAUCUAUUUCAGAAGCCAUAUAGUCUAAUUUAAAUCUAUUAAAUUAAUUGGGCCCCUUGUUUAGAGUUUAUAAUUCAUUUCUUUGUUUAAAGAAUCACAAUGAAACAAACAAAUCACCAUCUUAGUAGCCUCAAUCAGUUACGUAAUGUGAAAGAUGAAAAUAAAUAUCUAAGGCGAAUUCUUUUCAAAUUGCUCUUCUCCCCUUUUCUGGAAUGUGGAAAAACAUGAGCUACCCUUAGGCAUUAAAGGUUGAGGGGUAGGCAAGAGUUUGGAAAUGUCCUAUUGUCAAGGGGUAUGAUGACAGCCUGAGUAGAUUUCUUAAACCUGAAACUAGCUUGCUUCUCUUCCUCUGGAAAGCUUCACGCUAGAGAUCAUGAUAUCUUCAUUAAUAGGAUGAGGUGUGUUUAUGAAAGCAUUGCUGGAAAAAACAUGAGGUUUAAAAAAUUAUGGAAACAGAACGAUGUCAACCAUAGUCUCAUGCUGAUGACCCAGGAUUAUUUUACAAGCAAAGAUUCAAUGAUAAAUUUUAUAUACAUGGAGAUAACAGAACAGCUCAUUAUGUGUCAUUCAGUAAUAAAAUAGAGCAUGGGACUAAUACAUAGAAUGUAACGCGGGUACUGUUUGACAAUACUUUUGAAUUUAAGUAUAUGGUCAAUAUUAUAAUAAUUUUGGCUCUGUGUAUAAUGGUAUUAGGACUGUACAUGUUUUCAAGAGCUGAAAUGUAUCACGGCUGGCUUUUCAAACAAGUUUUCUCCACACAUCCCUGUGGAGACAAACCAAAUGAAAUGGAACAGACAAGUUUCUCCUUUGUGGUCAGAAUUCCCUGGUUUAAGCCAUAA
Orcinus orca (killer whale) is the source of this 1630-nucleotide long non-coding RNA. RefSeq lists it as uncharacterized. The transcript has 3 exons. Lineage: Eukaryota; Metazoa; Chordata; Mammalia; Artiodactyla; Delphinidae. The record is from RefSeq and is a predicted model, not a curated record.